GAGAGCGACCUGUACAAGUCGAUCAUGUUCUGGAGGGGAGUCCGAGGGUAGCCGCCGCGGGAGAAAAAGAUGGAGAGCGGCACCUUGGACAGGGUGUCCACGGCCUUGUGGUAGGACUCGGCGGUGAGGGCAAAGCUACCAGCUCCAAACUUGUACCCCCAAUUCCCGUACCAGGGAUGGCCUGCAAUGACGGCAUGGAGGAGGCGGUAGUCCAUUCCGUGUUUCUUGGAUAUGUCCAUGACGCUGACCUUCCUGUCAUAAACAGAAACAUCCACCUGGUCCAACCAUGCCUGAAACAACUCGACGAACCUGACGCGGAGCAUCUGACACAGCCGGUCCCAAAAGCUCAUAAUAUCACAUCCUGUCAAGUAUUUAGAACCACCCUCUCUGCCGUUUACUCGUAGAAGAUGGCCGAAUCCGUUGGCAUGCACAAUUCCAUGCAGCAAAUUAGUAGAAUCCUCCAACUGCAGGUAUGCCCGAUCCUCAAAAGUGUCAUCCGUCGUCAUCUCACAAUUGCAUGAGUAACACCUGCAAAACAAAAGCGUCCCGAUCAUGUUAGUCAUAGGUACAUAAUAAAAGCUUUGCAUUUUUCA
Molecule: non-coding RNA, 593 nt
Organism: Musa acuminata subsp. malaccensis (wild Malaysian banana)
Lineage: Eukaryota; Viridiplantae; Streptophyta; Magnoliopsida; Zingiberales; Musaceae
Source: RefSeq, a predicted model, not a curated record